Molecule: ribosomal RNA, 468 nt
Filed under: uncultured bacterium
Lineage: Bacteria
Description: partial 16S ribosomal RNA
Rfam family: Bacterial small subunit ribosomal RNA
Source: RNAcentral
GACGAACGCUGGCGGCGUGCUUAACACAUGCAAGUCGAACGGAAAGGCCCUGCUGUUGUGGGGUGCUCGAGUGGCGAACGGGUGAGUAACACGUGAGUAACCUGCCCUUGACUUUGGGAUAACUUCAGGAAACUGGGGCUAAUACCGGAUAGUAGCUCCUGCUGCAUGGUGGGGGUUGGAAAGUUUCGGCGGUUGGGGAUGGACUCGCGGCUUAUCAGCUUGUUGGUGGGGUAGUGGCUUACCAAGGCUUUGACGGGUAGCCGGCCUGAGAGGGUGACCGGCCACAUUGGGACUGAGAUACGGCCCAGACUCCUACGGGGGGAGGAAGUGGGGAAUAUUGCACAAUGGGCGGAAGCCGGAUGCAGCAACGCCGCGUGCGGGAUGACGGCCUUCGGGUGGUAAACCGCUUUCGCCUGUGACGAAGCGUGAGUGACAGUAAUGGGUAAAGAAGCACCGGCUAACUACGUG